RNAcentral lists this ribosomal RNA (506 nucleotides) under uncultured bacterium. Its description in RNAcentral is "partial 16S ribosomal RNA". It matches the Rfam family "Bacterial small subunit ribosomal RNA", at positions 30 to 523 of the family's 1533-position model. The record is from RNAcentral.
AUUGAACGCUGGCGGCAGGCUUAACACAUGCAAGUCGAGCGGUAACAGAGAGAAGCUUGCUUCUCUGCUGACGAGCGGCGGACGGGUGAGUAAUGCCUAGGAAUCUGUCUAGUAGUGGGGGAUAACUUGCCGAAAGGUAAGCUAAUACCGCAUACGUCCUACGGGAGAAAGGAGGGGACCUUCGGGCCUUUCGCUAUUAGAUGAGCCUAGGUCGGAUUAGUUAGUUGGUGAGGUAAUGGCUCACCAAGACCGCGAUCCGUAACUGGUCUGAGAGGAUGAUCAGUCACACUGGAACUGAGACACGGUCCAGACUCCUACGGGAGGCAGCAGUGGGGAAUAUUGGACAAUGGGGGGAACCCUGAUCCAGCCAUGCCGCGUGUGUGAAGAAGGUCUUAGGAUUGUAAAGCACUUUAGGUUGGGAGGAAGAGCAGUUAACUAAUAUUUGACUGUUUUGACGUUACCGACAGAAUAAGCACCGGCUAACUUCGUGCCAGCAGCCGCCGUAA